CGGACAUUUAUUUUUAUUGAGUUUCUUCUCAAGGUGAAGAUAACUCUUUGUAAAUGUCCUAGAGAAAUGUAGUAGCUUUCUGUUCACCCUUUGCAAGUAAAAACGGUGAAUCGUUCCACUGCUGACAUUA
Molecule: small nucleolar RNA, 130 nt
Filed under: Carlito syrichta (Philippine tarsier)
Lineage: Eukaryota; Metazoa; Chordata; Mammalia; Primates; Tarsiidae
Description: Small Cajal body specific RNA 24 (ENSTSYG00000029715.1)
Rfam family: Small Cajal body specific RNA 24
About the family: scaRNAs are a specific class of small nuclear RNAs which localise to the Cajal bodies and guide the modification of RNA polymerase II transcribed spliceosomal RNAs U1, U2, U4, U5 and U12.
Source: Rfam by way of RNAcentral